Daphnia magna is the source of this 173-nucleotide long non-coding RNA. RefSeq lists it as uncharacterized. The transcript is spliced from 2 exons. Lineage: Eukaryota; Metazoa; Arthropoda; Branchiopoda; Diplostraca; Daphniidae. The record is from RefSeq and is a predicted model, not a curated record.
AGAGGUCUUAGACGUGUCAAGCUUUCCACUUUGACUUGAAAAUGCCUGAAGUCUAACUGCAUUAGUGCACGACCUUCGUUCGUGCAUUUUCUUACAGCGGAAAAUCUAAAGAAUUUCAAAUCGGAUACGGUCUUACAUAAAGGAGGCAGAAUCUGAGGGUAACAGACACGAAG